Molecule: non-coding RNA, 4988 nt
Organism: Meleagris gallopavo (turkey)
Lineage: Eukaryota; Metazoa; Chordata; Aves; Galliformes; Phasianidae
Source: RefSeq, a predicted model, not a curated record
UUGUGUAUUUUUUUAACAACAAAAAACCCACACCAGCAACAUCCCCCAAAAGCAGCAGCAUGGCCCAGUUUGGUUUGGAGUUGGCAAUCUUGAACUGACUGUAAUAUUUCAUAAUGAUUGAAGCUGACAGUGUGCCCUUUUUAUGGUACUCAGAUAAGGGGUACUACUUCUUAAUUAAACACCAAUUCAGGGGGAAAAUAGGUGAAUAUCUGAGGGCAGGCUCAAACAAAAAAAAACCCGUGGAUGUCACAUGCAGAUGUAUCUGUUAUUUUCGUUUUCCACCGUGGAUUAUAAAAGCUUACAUGCAUGCUAAGAGCUGAUGAGUCAGGAUCAUGAGUUGGACCAACAAGGAGGAUGCCUGCAGUAGGCAGAGGAUGAUGGGGAGGAGGUGAAUGAAGCUUACUCCAGUACCAGGGAGCCUCCUAGUUGCAGUCUGUGCUCUUGCUGAUGAAUUUGACCGCUCUGAUACCUGCAAGACUGCAGUUUUCUGCAGUAUCCUUGUAACAGGGGAGGUUUGCACUGUAUGGGUGGGCUGUAAGCUGGGUGAGAAGCUGGUGAGAGCAGCAGGUACAAAGGGCUGCUGUUAAAGGUUAUGUUUUGAGUUGGUGGCUGGGUACCAGCAGCACUUGUGGGUUGAUCAAGCCUUGCCCUGUUCAGCAUCUCCAUGCUAAUAUGAUAGAAGUGUUUUGCAUCUCCGUGGUUAUAGAGAAUAUAGAGGUGGGAUGUGUCCUGUUCUUUUCGUACCAGAAAGCCAAUUGCUUUAAUUAUCUUCAUCAACUUAGCUAAUAGGGACAGAGAGGAUAUUUUCUAGUUUGGAUUUUUGUUUGAAGUUGAAAAAUUGACUGAGAGCUGGAAAAGAAGAGGGAAUAAGCAGUGGUGACGUACAAUCCUGUCAGCCCCUUCUGAAAGCUUUGGGGCAGUGAAAGCGAGCAGCAGCAGGAGUGACCCCACUGUAAGGCACAGAAGGAGGAGGUUCCCCCUCUGACAUGAGAAGACUUGAGGACUUCUGGAGCACCUAAUCAAAUCAUACGCUGAGCUGCAAUUGAUCUCGCUGGGAAACAUUCCUCUGAGCGUUAGAUACACUGAAGUAAAUCUUGGGAAUCUGGCCUCUUGUGACUGGAGACAAACAUACCAGUUUUGCUUUACAUGCGUUUAUGCACUUUUCAUUAUAGUAGCUUGAAGUACCAAUAAGUUGUUUAAACAGUGCCAUUUGGCAUUUACCUGCUUAAGCUGCCUUAAAGACCCAGAAUCUGUCCCCUGGUGUUAAUAUUUCCCUACUUCAAGCCUCUGUGGUUUCUGUGGGGUGACACAGGCUGAGUUAAACUAUGGUGUUUUUUUUAAAUAUUUUUAUUUUUGGCCUGUGGUCACAUUGUGGCAAGAGCAUGGUUACCAGCUAAUUGCAAGCAAUGCCUCUUCUUGCUGCAGAUUGAGUUGUUAGAGGAAGAAAACUGCUGGUGCUAGGCCAGGAUUUAUUAAUGACUGGCAGCUGUGGGUCUUCAUAUGCCUGCCUCCUGCCAGAGCCAAGUACUUACGGAGUCAUUAAGGUUGGGAAAGACCUCUAAGAUGAUCUAAUCCAAUCGUCCACCUACCACCAAUAUUGCCCACUAACUGUGUCCCUGUGUACCACAUCUACGUGCUUCUUGACUGCGCUCAGUCAUGGCGUUGCUGGUUAGGGUAAGGAUGCAUGUGUUUGGUGUUUGUUUCUAAGAGCCAAACAGUAAAACCUACUAUUGGUGAGGGUGGGAAUGAAGGGGCUGAGUUUUACUCCUUCAGGAUUUGUUUCUUGGCUGUUGCCCAUAAGAGCUCUUCCUGAUGUAGGAAUGAGGAUGGAGGGAAGCAUUACAGUAAGGAAUGUAGCGGGAUGUGUGUGCGAGUGCUUGAAGAGAUCCUUUAAAGUGUGAUUCAAAGUCUGACUUCUGUAAUGAGAGGUUUUAAUUUGGGCAGAGUCACUGAGGCAGAAAGGAGGAAGCCCAGCCGGUGUUAUCUGUGAAAUAAAGACUUCAUUUUGUAUGUUUGAUUUGAUCUGGGUUGGACUUCUGCUUUUUCUGUGUCCAGAAAAAGAAACUGCAACAGUGCUUUCAUGUUAAUACUUCUAUUUUAGACAAAAAACAGUUUGCCUGCUUAGAAGUAAAGGUUUCAGUCCCCAUGGGAAUGCCUGUUAUCUGGUUACAAGAUAAUACAUGGCCGAGGCAUGCUAAAGAGUGGUAAUACACUAAAUGUUCCAGCUGUAAUUGAACCACACCAAGCAUCACCUGCUCUUAAGUAAUUAAUGAAUUUGAACUAUCUAUACACAAGGAGCAAUGUGAAGAAAUAGGGCUUGUUUGUCUCUGGAAGAAGGUCCUUGUAAGGUCUUGCAGCAUGUAUUUUGACCACGUGAUGCCUAGCUGGAAUGGCACCAUGGACCUAGUGCUUGAAGAAUCUGAAAAACAACCUGGAACCAGUGGAACCCAGCAUUCCUCCUCUGCUGAGCAUCCUACUCUCUGCAGCCUUUGGCCAUAUCCUGCCAUCUUCAAAUGCUGCAUCUCAGGGUGGUUCCAAGCAGGAGCUGUGCUUGGGCUGAACCAGCCGCCAGGAGUGGCUGGAUUGGUUUUGUGUAUACCUGUAAGUCAGUGCUGGUAGAAACAUUGCUCUCCCAGCUGGUUCUGUUGCUGUGCUGGGUGACCCUAUGUCACAGUGGCUUUGAGAGCAUCUCCGAGGUGACACAGCAUAGGUCACUGAGCUUCAUUUCUUGCAGUGCACAGGAACUUGAGGGGAGGUGUUUCUUCCUCCCCAUUUCAAGGACGUAUUGCCAAACUGCCUGGUGACAUUUGGUGAAGUGAGAAACUCCAAGUCAGAUGGUGUUUUCUCUUGUUGAUACGGCUGCACAUCAACGCAAGCUGUUCUGGCAGAGCGCAGCCCUGUGGAGGCCUGGCUCUCAGCAUCUCCCAGCAGUGUGUGCUCCGAAAUUCAUCUCUGAGGUUGUUCCCAGAGCCCUGAUGUGGGAGGAAGAAAGCUUCUUGGGAUCACAGCUGGCUUCUCUUCCGCAGGUGAGGCCUACCUGGGCGGCCAGGCCACGGGUGUCGGCAUGGUGUCUGUCUCCUGGCAUGGAGCACUCUGACUGCGCCCUGCCAACCCUACUGCUCACAUCUGCAUCCCUUUUUGCAUCUGUGGAUCUCACUCUUUAUACUUACGCACACUUGGUGUUACUUGUGACAUGAAAUUAGGAGGGUUUUAGAUGGCAACAUGGAUUUCUAGCCGUCCCCCUAAGGCAGGACUGACAGAAGCCAGCCAAGUGUCAGCUCCCACUCUGGAAACUCAUUAGGAUCACACAAUCAUUAAGUUUGGAAGACACUGUGAAGACCAUCCAGUUCAACCAUCAACCCAUCCCCACUGUGAUCGGUGGGACCCACCUGGCAGCUAGCUGUGCUCUGCCUUCUGAUAACUGUCUAAAUGUGGUGUAGAUUUGGUGAGCCUUUCUUCUGUCCUCCUGAUUCAUGCUUUUACUGUCCUUUUUUGUUGUUGUUGUUAAUGAUCUUAGCCUUUUGUUCUCAGUCUGUUUGAAGACUAAGUUGUUUUGUGUGCCAUAGUUUCAUAAUGUUCAUAGUUUCACAGAGCACUGCAGGAUGCCAUUAUUUUCUUCACUGCCUUUGCUGAGAUACUGAGCAAAAUUUUGGUCAUUGGCCCUGCCACAGGUGGAGUGAAGGUUCCCUCCCUAGUAGGAGGGAGAGAUGCCUUUCAUAGUGAGUGACUGCUGCAUGGCUUGCACAGAUCACGCAGAUUAUCUUGGACAAAAAUUGGAAUUAUGGACCAAGCAGAUUGAGCAGAAUUAGAAAACCCUAAUGAACAUCUAGAUAGCUUUGUGAUAUGAUGUUGCCAUAGAAACGUAGUUCAUAGCACUUCAUAGUCAAAACUUUGCCAAUGCUCUCAUAAUUUACCCCUUUGUAGAGCUGUUGUAAGCAAUGGAGAGCCCUUGGCUGGAGUAUUGUAGGGAUUCUCCAUUGAAGUUGGCAAGGAUGAAACUGAGCUGGAGUGAGCAUCGAGCAUAGGAGAGCCUGUGCUGUGCCUGGAGAGUCCUGGUGAGGGCUGAGCCCCCCAAAUCUGAUUGCAUUGCACCCAUGGGGAGCUGCGCUUUUUGCUUUACUGACAGUGCUGAGAUGCGUCAUUGUUCCACUUGCUCUCUCCUGCCUCCUUUCAGGCUUUGAGUGAGCAGUUAAUGAAGGACAGGGCACCGAGGUCGGUAAGGAAGGGGAAUGCAAGCAUUUUGUGAGGUGCUCUCCAUGUGCAGCAUUCUGACUUGCAAAAUAAACUGUAAAGCAGCUCACUCAGGGCAGGCAGCGAGUGCAAACCUGACUCCAGGCUGAGAAAAAUAAGGGGAGGGGGGAGGAAGGAUUCCCUGUUGAGUGCUGAGGGCUGCGCUCUGGCUCAGGGCACUGCAGGAGCAGCGCUGCAGGGAGCCCAGCCCCCAGGGGUCCCUCUUCUAACAAAAAAACAAAACAGCCCCCCCACGUUCCCCUGUGCUAUGGGGACUUAAUUAAACAACAGCAUGUGGUUCUUGUGCUGUUGGAUGAUAAGAGAGUGCCAGAUGAUAGGGUGUAGCAGAGCUUUUCUUCCGUGAGUACUGGCAUUGUGCUGUGAAAAUGAGAAGGCAUUAAAAAAAAGUCCUCCCGAUUAAUAGUGGAAGUUGAGUGCUCUGGGUUCUUAUGGAUGAAAUUAAACAUUGUACGUCUGAUGUAAAACGCUUGCUAGACAGGUAAUUAAAAACAUUAGAAAGUAAUUAACUGGAAGUACCACGUACCCACCUGAUGAUGACUGUGUGAGCAAACUUGACUUGCAAAUCACUCUGGGAGUGGUGGAGGGGGUUUGGGGUGUUGUCUUUUGGGUACCUGCUUUAGCCUGGAGCUGGAGCAGCCCUGAGCAGAGUCCUGGUGCCUGUCCUGCAUCUGCUGGUUCCACCCUUGUCAACCUCACCUAGAAACAUUCAUUGGAGGAAAUAAAUAAAUUAUCCAUGC